AAUAUGGUGGUCCCCUUAGUUAAAAUUCUUUUAUGCCUUGCAUCGUAACUUUAUGCGGAAAUUGAAAUGUUUACUUUAGUCUAAGCAAAUCUUAAUUCUUAAAAGAAGCCACGAAUAUGCAUUGAAUAUGAAUCAAUCGACUGGUUCAAAAUUGAUGAGUUAUGGUCAUCAUCCACACGCUCAAUGGAGGAAAGGAAAAUAUAAGAUCUGCCACCAUAUGACUUGGACACUGGUGAAAAGAGGAGCUGAGCUUGUCAACUGAUCACCACCUAGUGUCCAAUCAGGAGGCUGCAUUCCUGCCCAAGGGAGACAGCUGUCGGAGGCGUCGUCAAGGCGACAGCAUCAGUUCCUGCUCCGUCUGACUUCUCUCAGCAUCUUCCAUGCCUCCAGGGUAACACAUCUGAUCAGGGUCUGAUCAAGCCUAAUUGGGUUCGCCAGAGGGGCUCUAUGAGAAAGACAUCUUAAGUGGGGAACAGUCACAUUUAAAGACACGAACAUUUCCUAAGUAUUAAUGAGGGCCCAGUGACAGUAAGUUUCCCUGAUGAGCAUAUCUCAGCUUUCAGCCAGCCUUAGUCUCCUCCAACAAUCUAGAAGUUCUUUUUGGUUCUGUUUUCUCAUUCUUAAAAUCAUAGGAGUGAAAAUCUAUCAGAAUCAAAACUUAG
Brienomyrus brachyistius is the source of this 662-nucleotide long non-coding RNA. RefSeq lists it as uncharacterized. The record is from RefSeq and is a predicted model, not a curated record. Lineage: Eukaryota; Metazoa; Chordata; Actinopteri; Osteoglossiformes; Mormyridae. The transcript is spliced from 4 exons.